CUCAUUCAAAGAGUGCGUAAUAGCUCACUGGUCGAGUGAUCCUGCGCCGAAGAUUUCCGGGGCUAAAACUUACUACCGAAGCUACGGCAUCAGUAAUGAUGGGGAGGGGAGCUUCCCAUACGGGUUGAAGCAUGACCGUAAGGACAUGUGGACAGUAUGGGAGGGAGAAUGUUGGCAUGAGUAGCGAGAUGUGGGUGAGAAUCCCACAGGCCGUAAACCCAAGGUUUCCAGGG
Molecule: ribosomal RNA, 233 nt
Filed under: Clostridioides difficile
Lineage: Bacteria; Bacillati; Bacillota; Clostridia; Peptostreptococcales; Peptostreptococcaceae
Description: partial 23S ribosomal RNA
Rfam family: Bacterial large subunit ribosomal RNA
Source: RNAcentral